RNAcentral lists this long non-coding RNA (1191 nucleotides) under Coturnix japonica (Japanese quail). RNAcentral's name for it is "lncRNA (ENSCJPG00005016786.1)". Lineage: Eukaryota; Metazoa; Chordata; Aves; Galliformes; Phasianidae. The record is from RNAcentral.
AUGGACUUUGCAAAGGUGCGGGAAGAGGGUGGGGGAAGUGCGGCUGUACCUUGUUGCGAAGGGCUGGAAGGGACGAGGGGCUGCAUCGCCGCGUUGUGCCUGAUCCAAGCCGGAGUGUGCGCGGUGUGUGAGCGCCUGCGUCCCUCCUGUGUUCCCCCGCCGGGAGGCAGAGGGCGACGGGGCGCCCGCGAUAGAGGGGAGCCGGCAGCAGUCGAGCCGGCUCCGGCCAUCGUGUUGCGGCAAAACAUUGCGGUAUGUCUGCACUCCUGGCCGGGCUUGCGACCCGCCGGCAGCGCCGCGCAGUGCCCCCGCUCGGCACCGGCCGGGCCCCGGGGCAGAGGAAGAGGAGGGGACCCGAGCGUGGGCGAGGCAGGGAUACGGAGGGGAGGAUGGAGCGGAGUGGUGCGGACGUGGGGCUGCCUCCGGGCAUGGGGCUGCCCCCUGGCCGGGAGCCUGCGGGAGUUAACAGCAGCUGCUCCGCUCUCUCUGCUCUCUGUGGUCCCUCUCCGGGGCCUCCUUGACCCCUUCAGCUAUCCCUUUCUCUCUCCCUUUCUUGCUGCCUCUGUUUUCCCCCUCCCUCUUGUCCUUCUGUCUUCCCUUCCUUGCUCUCUUGUCCCUCCUCUGCCCUCCCCUCCAGGUUCCCCAGCGCAUCCUUCGCUCCCUGUGGCUCCGAUUCCCCUUCCUCCUGCUGACUCCUGCUUUCUCCACUUCCAUCCCAGCUUCCUCCUUUCAACUCGGUGGCUUCCCACGGCGGGAAGUGAGAGGGACAACAAGUUGGGCACUGGGGCAGUGGGGAAGGUGGGGGGAGCAAUGCAUCGAUUAUUGACUGAUUUGCUAAAGGGAGUGGGAGAACUAGCUUCUGAAAUGCUCUGGCUCCAGUUCUGUGUGAAAAAUGGCAGCUCAGCUGGAUGGGCUGUACAUGAAGGCUUCUUGAAAGCCACCUCUGUAUCAGUGCAGGAUGAGAGCAAAUUACAUAACAUUUUGCAAGAAAAGAAAAAAAGGAAAAAGUUCUUCUCAGGUUUCAGUAGUGUCAGACUGAUGAACUGCGACUUACACCCUGCGAAUCAGGGUAUUGUUAUUCUGGGGGAUGGGGCUGAACGCCUGUGCAUGCUUCUUCCAUACCUGUGUGCUUCCAUUGGUCCCCCACGGCUGAUCUUCUCAUUUUCUGGACAGUUCAUUGUAUUUCUGUGA